This 492-nucleotide ribosomal RNA is filed under the name uncultured bacterium. Its description in RNAcentral is "partial 16S ribosomal RNA". It matches the Rfam family "Bacterial small subunit ribosomal RNA", at positions 29 to 507 of the family's 1533-position model. The record is from RNAcentral.
AGUGAACGCUGGCGGUAGGCCUAACACAUGCAAGUCGAACGGCAGCACAGUAAGAGCUUGCUCUUACGGGUGGCGAGUGGCGGACGGGUGAGGAAUACAUCGGAAUCUACUUUUUCGUGGGGGAUAACGUAGGUAAACUUACGCUAAUACCGCAUACGACCUACGGGUUAAAGCAGGGGAUCUUCGGACCUUGCGCGAUUGAAUGAGCCGAUGUCGGAUUAGCUAGUUGGCGGGGUAAAGGCCCACCAAGGCUACGAUCCGUAGCUGGUCUGAGAGGAUGAUCCGCAACGCUGGAACUGAGACACGGUCCAGACUCCUACGGGAGGCAGCAGUGGGGAAUAUUGGACAAUGGGCGCAAGCCUGAUCCAGUCAUGCCGCGUGGGUGAAGAAGGCCUUCGGGUUGUAAAGCCCUUUUGUUGGGAAAGAAAAGCAGCAGGUUAAUACCCCGCUGUUCUGACGGUACCCAAAGAAUAAGCACCGGCUAACUUCGUG